CUUUAUGACAUAUAGACCAUCAGAGCCAGGAGGGAGCCUAAAUCAGGAGGCUCACCCUGGAGACGCCCUGGCCACAAGCAGCCCCAAAACUCCAGAGCCCAAGAGGAAUCAGAUUAAAAUGGUCUCUCCUGCCACCUUGUGGACAGAAGCGAACACCAAAAGCUCUUCAGCCCUUUCCACCGGGGAGCAUCACCUGUUUCAAAAGCAAUCACAGGACUAUCGAAUGCAUAACCUACAAGAGGAUCCUCUCUGGAAGUGUCCCUACAACCAACCAAAGGAAGUCCCUUCUACAGUGUAGGAAACUGGCAUCCAGAGAUUUGCCACAAAUACAUUUUCUCCUGUGUCUUGAGCCAAACGAGCAAGAGAAGAAGUUGUCCUCAAAUUCACCUGAGUCAAAGUAUUCCUUUGAGUCAUGAUCAUCUCUGACAUAAGUAUGUCAUAAAAUGAGACUGAUGUGUUCACUCGGGGGGCAGAGAGAGUAAGGAUGGACAUCAGUUAAAGAUUAUAGAGUCAGAACCUCACCUGUGAUGUCUUACCUGAUGGCACCUUCUGGAGGCUGAGCUGGGAAGAGAUCCAAAUAGGAAUAUUGAUGAUCAGAGUAGAAAGGGGAUGAUCUUGCUCUGGGCUGACAUCCUAAUAAAUGGACCCAAAGUUCUACUGACCCUUGUCUU
RNAcentral lists this long non-coding RNA (671 nucleotides) under Monodelphis domestica (gray short-tailed opossum). RNAcentral's name for it is "lncRNA (ENSMODG00000033706.2)". The record is from RNAcentral. Lineage: Eukaryota; Metazoa; Chordata; Mammalia; Didelphimorphia; Didelphidae.